This 309-nucleotide ribosomal RNA is filed under the name uncultured bacterium. RNAcentral describes it as "partial 16S ribosomal RNA". It matches the Rfam family "Bacterial small subunit ribosomal RNA", at positions 504 to 808 of the family's 1533-position model. The record is from RNAcentral.
AGAGACAGCAGUCGCCACGGGAAUACGUAGGGGGCAAGCGUUAUCCGGAAUAACUGGGCGUAAAGGGUGCGCAGGUGGUUUAACAAGUUAGUGGUGAAAGGCAUAGGCUCAACCAAUGUAAGCCAUUAAAACUGUUUAACUUGAGUGCAGGAGAGGAAAGUGGAAUUCCUAGUGUAGCGGUGAAAUGCGUAGAGAUUAGGAGGAACACCAGUGGCGAAGGCGGCUUUUUGGCCUGUAACUGACACUGAGGCGCGAAAGCGUGGGGAGCAAACAGGAUUAGAUACCCCAGUAGUCCCUGUCUCUUAUACA